RNAcentral lists this ribosomal RNA (390 nucleotides) under uncultured bacterium. RNAcentral's name for it is "bacterial SSU rRNA". It matches the Rfam family "Bacterial small subunit ribosomal RNA", at positions 28 to 419 of the family's 1533-position model. The record is from RNAcentral.
GACGAACGCUGGCGGCGUGCUUAACACAUGCAAGUCGAGCGGUAAGGCCCCUUCGGGGGUACACGAGCGGCGAACGGGUGAGUAACACGUGGGUGACCUGCCCUCAGCUCUGGGAUAAGCCUGGGAAACUGGGUCUAAUACCGGAUAUGACUCCAUGACGCAUGUCGUGGGGUGGAAAGCCUUGUGCGGCUGGGGAUGGGCCCGCGGCCUAUCAGCUUGUUGGUGGGGUGAUGGCCUACCAAGGCGACGACGGGUAGCCGGCCUGAGAGGGCGACCGGCCACACUGGGACUGAGAUACGGCCCAGACUCCUACGGGAGGCAGCAGUGGGGAAUCUUGCGCAAUGGGCGAAAGCCUGACGCAGCGACGCCGCGUGAGGGAUGACGGCCUGG